RNAcentral lists this ribosomal RNA (492 nucleotides) under uncultured bacterium. Its description in RNAcentral is "partial 16S ribosomal RNA". It matches the Rfam family "Bacterial small subunit ribosomal RNA", at positions 29 to 507 of the family's 1533-position model. The record is from RNAcentral.
AGCGAACGCUGGCGGUAGGCCUAACACAUGCAAGUCGAACGGCAGCACAGUAAGAGCUUGCUCUUACGGGUGGCGAGUGGCGGACGGGUGAGGAAUACAUCGGAAUCUACUUUUUCGUGGGGGAUAACGUAGGGAAACUUACGCUAAUACCGCAUACGACCUACGGGUGAAAGCAGGGGAUCUUCGGACCUUGCGCGAUUGAAUGAGCCGAUGUCGGAUUGGCUAGUUGGCGGGGUAAAGGCCCACCAAGGCGACGGUCCGUAGCUGGUCUGCGUGGAUGGUAGGCCACACUGGAACGGAGACACGGUCCAGAGUCCUACGGAAGGCACCAGAGGGGAAUAUUGGACAAUGGGGGCAAGCCUGACCCAGCCAGACCGCGUGGGUGAAGAAGGCUUCGGGGUUGUAAAGCCCUUUUGUUGGGAAAAAAAAGCAGCAGGUUGAUACGCCGCUGUUCUGACGGUACCCAAAGAAUAAGCACCGGCUAACUUCGUG